This 27394-nucleotide long non-coding RNA is filed under the name Solanum tuberosum (potato). RNAcentral's name for it is "long non-coding RNA (STUB_LNC011556)". The record is from RNAcentral. Lineage: Eukaryota; Viridiplantae; Streptophyta; Magnoliopsida; Solanales; Solanaceae.
GGAAAUUUAAAACUUUUUCAACAAUAUCAAAGUCUUUUAUAAACGAAGCAGAAGUCUAAUACACUUUGUCUCAAACCAUCUACAAUAUGAAUAUCUUUGGAACACAACCCAUACAAUAGUGUUCAAAACAUAAAAUGAAAGAACAUAAGAGAAAUGGUAGCCAAAUCCUCUAAUGCUAUGAGGACUCACCAAUCUUCAAGCCUUGCUCUACUAAGAUCCUAUCCCCGGGGAUGAGAGUCGAUAUUGUCGGACCCUACAUUUGAAUAAGAAAUGUAGGAAAGAGUUUGCAUUAGUACAAACAUAUGAUAGCUAACAUAAACAUCAACAUAAGCAUAAGAGAUAACAACAUAAGUAAUAAGCAUAAUCAAUGCACAUAAAUCAUCAUAACAUAGAAGGAAUACUUCUUGAAGUAACCUCAACUUAUCCUUAGUCAAGACUUGGGUCAUCCACCUCUAGUCAAGCAUAUUGUAACGACCCGAGAGCACCCCCUAGCCGUUACAUGCGUAUUCAACCUCUCGGAGGUCUUAUACAAUCCUUAGCAUUCAUUCAUUGCAUAGAUCAUAAAAAUCACUAAGAAUUUAAAACUUUUACUCAAUAAAACCAUAAGACUUCAAGAGUUAUCAACAUUUGAAAACAUCAAUACGCAAGCGGAACUACUAAGUCUCUUUAGCCAAUCUUAGACAAGAACUUAAAACAUACUAAGGGAUACGCCCCUUUACAAAUGAAAUGAAACUAAAGUGUCUAUUACAAUGACUAAGAAACUUCUAAACAUAGUCCUCGAAUCUUGAGGACAUACCAAAGACUUGGAAGAGUGAAGCAAUCCAAGCAACUCCAAAGCACAAUCCCCUCCUAGUUACCACAACCUACACUUGUAGUAAAAUAGAAGAAAGGGGUUAGUACAACACACGUACUAAGUAAGAGGAUAUGCAAAAACAUUCUAAAAAGGACACUUAUUUGGAAGUUAUGCUUUCAUGCCAUUUUGAUAAAAAUCUCAUGAACAUCAACAUAAUAGGCACCUUACAAGUCACAACCAACAAUACAAAGUCAUAUGCUUCACAAUACCUCACAAACAUACAUAACCCAUUUACCUUUCCCUUCUUGCCUUAGACCUCCACCUUAAGUAACCCUUAAGAAAUACCUUUGUGCAAUGUAUGGGCAACGUCCCAUACCAUAACCCACACUAAGGCACCACCUUAAGGUCACACAAAGUGCACUUACCAUGCAUACCUCAACCUUNNNNNNNNNNNNNNNNNNNNNNNNNNNNNNNNNNNNNNNNNNNNNNNNNNNNNNNNNNNNNNNNNNNNNNNNNNNNNNNNNNNNNNNNNNNNNNNNNNNNNNNNNNNNNNNNNNNNNNNNNNNNNNNNNNNNNNNNNNNNNNNNNNNNNNNNNNNNNNNNNNNNNNNNNNNNNNNNNNNNNNNNNNNNNNNNNNNNNNNNNNNNNNNUUCAUUAAUUAGCCCAAAGAGACUCAUUCCUUUCUUCUCAUUAAUACGACACACCAAGAUCUCCCUUAAAUGUCUACUUGUGCAAUGUCUAGAUGAUGUCCCAUUCCACCACCUAUCCUAAGUAGUACACGCUUAAGAGACCCUAGUUCAUUCAUUCAUUAGUGUGGGGGAAGAGCCUAAACCGACAUAGACCAUGGAGCUUUACAAGGAAUCUCGGUAAUACCCUUACCGGAUGAGGGAUCCCUACUUGCCUAAGGUAGGGUCAUUCUUUUAGCCUUUACGUGGUAGAGACCACUAGCUAGUCCUAUGUAGGCACAUAGUUAAGGAAUAGAAGGAUUGCUUCUAAGUACCCACAUCUCAACUAACGAAGGGGCACCCAUCUUAAGGGUUACUACUAAAUACUCACAUCUCUACUAACGAAGGAGUAUCCACCCAUCUUUAUAUCCUCUCGGUGCUAGACAUUACUCUCCCAUGGAGUUUGGACAUUUAUUUCAUUCAUUCAUAUAGGGAUAAGGAUUGCUACUAAGUACUCUUAUCUCAACUCACGAAGGAGUACCCAUCCUAGGACAACAUUCAUUCAUUUAGAAAUAAGGAUUGCUACUAAGUAUUCUCAUCUCAACUCACCAAGGAAUACCCAUCCUAACCCUCAUUCAUUCAUUAAAGAAGCUCUUGGAUUCAAAGAUGAGAAAACCUUUCAUCUAGGAACCCCAUUCAUUUAAAAGGCGUACUUUAUGAGACUAUCCUUACAAUAGACCCAACUUUCAUUCAUUAGCAUUAACUCCUAUUCUUUUCAUUCAUUCCUCACAUUCUUUCAUUCAUUCUUAACUAGGUGUGAGAAGAGGUAAACAUAGUAUACCUUAACCUCACCUUCAUUAUAAGUCAUUCAAAGAAGACAACAACCAAGUAUAACACAUAAGGUCUCUAUACAAGGUCACCUUUCACGAUCUUAGACCAUACACAAUUUCACAUCAUAUCACAUUACCUUCACAUAAUCAACAUUACUCAAAACAACAAUCACCCAACUUUGCCUACAAGGCCAUGAUCACAACAUGCUUAUAAAGUAAACACCUCCCCACUUUCAAAGGGAUCAAACCUCACAAUUCUAACAUCUAAAACAUAUAUAUAUAUAAAAUAAUAUAAUCAGUAAUAUAUUGAGAACUUCAUCAUCAUCAUAAACCUUAGGUCACAAUUGCCCAUUCAAGGCCAACANNNNNNNNNNNNNNNNNNNNNNNNNNNNNNNNNNNNNNNNNNNNNNNNNNNNNNNNNNNNNNNNNNNNNNNNNNNNNNNNNNAACAAUACAUAAAUCAAUAGCCCAUAACAAUCUACACAUUAAUAUCACAUUAUUAGCUCAUAAUCAAUAGACCCACUUUAGACCCAAAAUUAGGGUUUCAAGAUAUGCAAGGGUUCAUGGAGUUUUUGACCUUAAAACCAUCAAUAUUAACAUAAAACAUCAUUUGAAAUACUUUUAUGCAAGAACCCAAGCUUAGAAUUGAAAUUGGGGUUUUCAGUGCUUUUGAAAAACAUUGAAAUUACUUUGAUUUGGCUCUUUGAUUGAAAGGAGAAUCAAAGAUAAAAUCCCCAUACCUUUAUGAUUAAUUUCCUAGGAAUUUGAAGAGAAAUCAGUAGGAACCCAUCCCCAAGCUUGAAGCUUCAAAGAUGUCUUCCAUGGAAUUCUAGAGAGAAAGCUUAUUUGAGAGGGAAGGUUCCAUUGGAAUAAUGAGGUCCAACUCUAGGUUUUGGGGUUUUAUCCACUUAAAAUACCCUAAAAUAGGUAGAAUAAUCAUUUAUAAUAAUUCCUCAAAGUAUCCAAACUACCCCUCACUUAGUUGGACCUUGUUAAACAAGUCAAACUUGAGUUUUAUUUUUGCAGAUUUUGUCGGAAAACAAGUCCGCGAAGCGGGGGUGUUCCCGCAAGUUUCUAAAAUUAAAUUUCAAUACAGAGGAGUCCGCGGUGUCUCCACGAUGUGGAGCCACCUUUUGGCCAUUGGUGGAGCAGGUCCCCGAUGCGGAGCCACUCCCUCUAAGAACAACUACAAGCUGUCUUGGCAGCUUGCUUGGCCAAAGGUUGGAGUCCUCCUCGGGGACCCUUAGGGUGGUCCCGGGGUGUCGUACCCAAACGUUUUGACCCUAAAUACAUUUAUUAAGACAAUAGGAUCACCUCCACUGAUUUUAGACUCCAAAUAACACAUAAAAACAUGUACAACAUACUAGAACACACCAACACGUAAAAGACUAGUUUCCGAAUGUAUUGGUCAUCCCUUGACGUUUGACUUCCAAACACUCUAAAACUGACUAAAAAGGCUAUUAUUCAUUAUUUUAACAAGUUAUUAAUGCAUAAAACCCAUGUGAGGCUCUACUUUGUCCUACUUCAGUUUGAGGGGCGUUACACAUAUCAUGGAAGGCAACUCAAGCAACAAUCCAAGCUCAUCAUACAUCAUAAUAUAGUCUAUCUUAACUUUUAUAGACAUGGGGAAUCGCCUCUUGCCUUACUUUAAAGAAACAUGGGUAGUCACCUCUAGUCUUUCUUUACAUAUGGAUCAUGGGUACUCGCCUCUAGUCCAACUUAACAUAUGUAUCAUGGCUAUUCGCCUCUUGUCCAACAACAUGUGACAUGGGUAUUUGCCUCUUGUCAUUCUAUAAGGAUCAUGGGUACUCCCCUCUUGUCCAAUCAUAUCUUAAGAACAUGGGGAGUCACCUCUUGUUCAACUUUAAAUAAUAAGGGUAAUUUCCUUUUUAUCCUACUUCAUGGAAUAUGGGUAAUCGCCUUAUAUCCAUCUCAUUUGGAGGUCAUGGGUAAUCGCCUCUAGCCUCAUCAAUAUCUUAGUCAUUAGCGUAGAUUCAUUUUAGGGGAGAAAUCCUUUCAACCUAGAAUAAUUCAAUGUGAGCAAACCUUUCACAUGCAUAAUUAUAAGCAAUUCAUGUGGGAAUUAUCCCUUCCAUAACAAUUACACCAAUAGUCAACAAUUGACAACAUAAGCUUUACUCUCAAAGCACUAUAUCUCAUAGUCAUUCUAUAUGCUCAAUCUCAAGACAAUUCAACAUCAUAAUCAUCUCAUGAGCUUCAAUCUCAAAGCAAUCUAAUCAUGAUUCAUCAUAUAAGCUUCAAUUCUAAUGUAUCUCAUCAAUCCUAGAUUGAAUACAUCUAAACCCACAAAUUCUCCUUUCAUGGCAUAAACCCUAUUUACAUCAAUUUCAUUUUCUAGACAUAGGUUAGGCAUGGGUACAUGUAAUUUCAUCCUAAAAACAUGUAAUUCUAUCAAUCCAAUCAUAAGCAAUCAUAAUCCACUCAAUUGGAUUAUCAUUCAUCAAUACCCACAACAUUGGAAGAAACCCUAACUCAAAUUGGGAAUUUCAUCUUCUCAAUUGGGGAACCAUAGGGACUCCAUGGAUAGAAGGAAUCCAUGGAUGAAAAUCCAUUAUACCUUGAUUACAAAUCCCACAAAUGCUUGAGGAAUGGAGACUUGAACUUGACCCUAGCUUCAACUCUUCCUUCUUCUUCAACUUUCUAGAGAGAGAAUUAUUUUGGAGAGGAACCCAAUUCAUUUGGUGAGUUCGAUAGAAUGAUUUUAAUGAGAGAAUUUAGGGGUUAAAAUAACUUAUAUAGGGGUCCUAGACUUAGGUAAAAUUACCUCACUUUGAUUUAAUUAAUACCGGAAAGACCCAUGUGCCCUUAACUAGACCUGCCAGUCCACGACCCACGAGACCUCACUAACGGACCGUGGACUAACCAAUGGUCUAUCCUACACAUUCGUUGGUGGUGAUCAGAGGCUUUUUCCUAGAGCUACAGCCACUGUACCAUAAGCAAGGACCCAUCGACGGCUCAUGGAUCCAGCCAUGGUUCAUGGCCUAGACAGGCUCCUUCGUGACCCUUUCCACGGACCCACCUACGGGCCGUGGUUCGCCCUCAUGGAUGGAACCUAUAACACUUGAAAUUUUUCUAGGUUUCCCUCUUUCGAAUUCGGGGUAUUACAGGAACUUUUCCUAGUGAUACCAUCCCAAAGCCCAAGAAUGAUUUAUGAAGUUUGAGGACUAUGUCAUGCCACAAUAUUAAAUAAGGUGCUUCUUCGAAGGCAACCUAAUUCUUUACUUUUGUUCUUACUACUUUUGAAUAACGUGCGUUGUGAGAGCAGGUGAAAAAAAGGUUGAAAAAUCGAUAAGGGUAGACUCAGUGAGGCCACUACCUAAAGGGAAAUGCAUAAAAAGUACUAGGAAGACUAAUUCUUUUCUGCCCUUUGAGGAAGAAAAGUUGGAAAAGUGCACUGUCAAGAUCGGCGAUCAGAACUCUAAAGGGAGAUUCACCGAGUGUAUUAUGCGAACUUCAUCGAGUUCGCCAAAUCAACCUUCAUGUUUGGUAAUUGUUCAGGCAGGUUCAGCAAGCUUAAACUCUAGAUGGCAAUACGCCGAACCCGUUUAGCAAUGUUAGUGAGUGCACCGAACGGGCCGGGUAUAAAAAGGCCUAUGGUAAUUUUUAAUUCAAAAAUCAACACCAUUUGAAUCCUUAAAGCCUUUUCAUUUCCCCUCUCUUGCAUUGUGUAUUUUGAGUAAUUUUGUUCCUUGUGUGAGCAUAUUGGAAGCUCUAGGAGUGCAUUUGAUCAGACCUCAAGUCAACCCAAUUCCAAUUCCUUAAUUUCUUGUUUGUUUUUCGGCACUGAGGUUUGUGUUUCGACUUCUUGUUGAUAAAUUUGAGUUUAAAUUGUAUAUACGGUGUGGUCUUGAGCCUUUUAACUAGAUUAAUUGUUUAAAUUUGUUUCGUAGCAUAAUAUUGUUGAAAUUGAACCGUACCCAUGUUAUUUUGAUUGUGAAUGCCUUUCUAAAUGGUGAAUCAUGAUUGUGUUGGUUAGAAUGUUAAAUUGAGUCGAUAUACUUGUUGGGUCUGUGUUUAAUUGAAUGUGAGUGAAGUUUAAGUAGCUCAGUGUUGACCCAUUACAUGAUUUUUCUCAAUGAUAGACAGGGUGACUACAUUCUUAAUAAAUUGGUGGAAAUUUGAGUACCCAUGGGUUGAAAAACAUAUAGGUGGAUUGUAAUUGUUGGGGGAAACUCGUAUUUGUUGUGCAUGUUUGAUUUGGAUAUGAAAUUUAGGCACUGGGUUGAAAAUUCCUAUUUGGCAAGCUUGUCUUAGCUCGCCAAGGAAGAUGGGUGAAUCGUCGAGUAAGACCUAACUCUUUUUCUUGAGCUUGUGCAUGGCCUUUGGUACUGUCCCAUUCAGCGGGUUUGUCUUAGUCCGCCGAACUCAUUUGGUGAAUCGCCUAGUGGGAGAGUAUAUUGCCUUUAUGCCUAUGUUUGUCCCAUUUGCUUUGUUAGUUUCGGUGGACUUGUCUUUGCCCGUCGAAACCAACUCGAUGAAUCGUUGAGUUGGCAUUGACUCACCGGAGCUCACCGAUCCUGUUGAGCAAUACGCAUUCCCAUUAGGCGAGCCUCAAGACUGUCUUCAAGCUUGAUUCAAAGUGCUUUAGAUUUCAAUUAACAUUCACAAAUCUUAUGUUGUAAUGUGUGCCUUGAAGGUAAUGGUGAGACGAAACAGUAAAAAUGUGGUCUUGUUUGACACUGAGUGAGGCAGGGAGUCUACUCCACAUCUUCAUCCUCAGGAGAAACAAAAGGGCCUCUCAAUCAAUGAGUCGUCUGAGGCCUAAAAUACUCAAAAUACCAACCCUCAGACACCUAUAAGUGUGGUUAAAAAGGAGAGAAAGCAUAUAUUGCCAUGAAAUAGGUGAAUAUCCACUCAAAGUUAGUGUCAAUGGCAGAAGACCCCAACCCUGCUUCACGUGUUAUCCCGAUUAUAGAUCUAAGAGCUUUGAAUAGGCUCAACAUGGAUGGGGAACACACAAUUCUAGAGGAGCACUGACUUUCCAUUGAUGGGGUUAUGAUUAAGUACCCCACAAUAUAGAGGGUAAUCAAAUUCCACAAACUGGAACAGUUCACAAAGGUCAGGAAACCAUACAUACCGAAUUGGGUAUGAGAGUUCUAUGAUGCCUAUGCAAGGGCAUUGGUGAAAGAGAGGAAAGGGAUUGUCUAGAAGACACUAGAUGAAGAAGAGGUCUGAGGUUAAAUUGUGUAGUGUCAUAGCACUGUGAUUAAUGAAGUACUGGGCACCCUAGACAAUCUAACUGGCAAAUUUAAGACCAAGAUGGCCACACCUUUGGAUUAGUUGAAAGAGUGGUUGGCCCCUCUAAUACCCGAUGAGUCUGCACCAUCUUGGUUGGAUGAGGUCCCAAGAUUGAAAAGGACUUGGGAAAAGUGGCGAGGUACUGGUUUGGCUUUAUCGGUAGCAACAUGAUGCCAUCCAAAAAUGAGUCUAUACUCAGGCAUUCAAAGGUCAUGUUAGUGGGUUCCAUCAUUGAGAGAGAGAAAAAUAAUGUGGGACAGAUAAUCAUGGGAGAUAUAUUUCUGUGAGACAGAUAGGAGUAGACCUCUCUUCCCUUUCCGGUGCUCAUUACCUAGCUUUGUGAGAAAGCUGGAGUCCCCUUUAGAGUAAAAAUUGAUGUCAAGAUCAUGUCGAUCUCAUCUAGUGAUAUUCAGAGGAUCCAGGUUGAGUUCUUAAAAGAUGAUACAGCUCAAAAGACACCACCACCAAACUCCUCUCUAGUGGUAUACCCUGCCACAUUGACAGUUGAGGACAAUGCAUCUUUUCCUUUUGAGGAACAGGUAGGUAUUCAUAUUCCUUCGUUUGAUGCUAGUUUAUCUGAUUCCACUACUACAUCUACACCUUCUUCUUCUGUAUCCAGUGCUAGUGUAAGGCCUCCCUCUUGUCCUGUGGCCUGUCCUACUUUGACCCAGACACUUAUAUACUAGAUAUGUAUUGUUGCCCAGUCAGUAGAUGUUCGAGCUGCCCGGGUUGAGAAGAACUUUCCCAACCUCAUUGAUCAAGAAAUUUAGAAUGCCUUGGCUUCUUUGACUGAGCGGGUGGUCAAGUGUGAGAAAAUAGCCCGGGUCCACACUGUGAGAUUAAAUGAGUUUACUGCGACGAUAGCACUAUUGGAGAAAACUGAGGGUAGCACAAGUGGAUUGGACACCCUUAUGGCUGAGGUUGCCAAGUUAAAGGCUGAGGUGGUCCAGAUUCAGUCUGUGGACAUAUCGACACUUUGGGGCGAGGUUCCCUUUUCAGAUGUUGCUGCUCCCACACCUGUGAUGCCUAGUGUUGCACCUUCCUCUUCUGUACGUGAGGUCAUUAUAGAUGAGGAUGAUGACGAUGAGGAGUUGGCUGAGGAGACCAAUGGGGAGGUGUUGAGAGAGGAUGAGAAUGGGUUUGUUGAGACCCUAAGAGUGCGACACGAGACCGAGGAGGUCAUCAUUUAGGCUACCCUAGAGAGCUCUCUCAAAGAGACUUUAGUUGUUGGGCCCAGUGGAUUCACUCCAGACUCCCCCACACUCUUAUUGUUGAGAGGGGCACUGAUGCCCAAUCCAAGCCGUCCUUGCCACCUCUCGUGCUCCUAUUGCGAGACAAAGAUGCUCACUUGUUGCUUCUUCACCGGAAACUCCAAAUGAAAGGACUUCAUAGACGUAGCCUGUCAGGGCGAUCAUAUAUCUUAGCCUCCCCAUAUUACAUUUAUUUUACAUUGAGGACACUGAUUUAUUUUUUUUGUGGGGUGAGGCCUUCAUGCCAAUAUUCCAUUUUUGCUUGUAUUUUGUUCGUUUAAUAUUUUGAACUUUUGUAGUUAAUGUUUUUUUUAUAUUAGAGUGCUUCUGUUUUGAGAAAAUGUAUCUCUUUACUUCAAUAUUUAUUCUCUCUUGAUGAAUUCAACCCCCCAUGUGUCUGAAUAGUGAAAUGAUUUAUGUUUUCAUUUAUAAAAAUUUGAGAAUACAUUUUGUUCAAUAUCGAUGUCUUAAAUAGUACUCAUGGUGAAUACAUGAUGUGUACAGUCGAUGUUGCGAAAGCGAAAUUGAUGUGGUUACACCUUUUGAGUAAAAUCUUUGAUUCUUGUGUUGACUACAUGUGUUUGGAUGUGAACCUUGCAAUGAACAUCGCAUGUACGUUUUUUUAACUUUUUGAGAUAUUCUAGACAAGUGUAUUUCAAAGAUUUUAUGUGUGGUGAGUUUUACUUGAAAGCAUGCAUGUGGAAUCCUAUAAUUUGCCUUAUUAGUCUAAUUUGAUGAAUCUUGGUGAAUGUGAGACAUAAUCUUGGGCUAAAAUUGUAAUACCUCGAAUUCGAGAAAGGUUAGAGAAGGAGUUAAGGGGGAACUCACAAGCCAAAACCGGCCCAUGGGACUUGCAUGGAGCCCCACACGGGCUGUGAAGGGAACCACGAUCUGUUUAAGGGUUCGUGGUAAGCUCCCCUAAGACCUGCCUCGCAAGGAUCCCUCGCACGGAGACCUUAACAGCUUGUGGAGAGGGAGACAACUUGUGAAAGAGCUCGUGGGAGCUUGGCAGUGGUUUCCAUGGCCAGCAUCCCUCCCAAGGAGUCCUUGACGGCCUGUGGUGAGGAUGACGGGCCGUGGUGGUCGUCGUCAAAGUGCCCCACCAGCAGGGGCCUCUUCCCAAGCCACUGAUCCAAGGACCACGACUGCAUAAACGGCUCGUGGUUCCUUAGAUGGCUCGUGAACGCCACCAUUUGGGGGUUGCGUCAGCGGUAAGUCAGGGGCUUUUGGGUCUUUUCCUAAUUAUUCUAUCCUAAUACUAUGUCGGUUUGCCCUUACCUAUAAGUCCUAUAUAAGUGUUUUAAACCCCAUAUUUCCCCAAUUGAAAUCAUUCUCUCAAAUUCCAAAAAUAAAAACAAGUCUUCCUCUCAAAAUAUUGCUCACUCUAGAAAGCUGAAGAAGAAGGGAUCAACCUAGGAUUUCAAGUCAAGUCUCCAGCUCCACCAUUGAAGGCAAGAUUUUGGCAUUGAGGUAUGAUAGUUUUCAUCGAUGGUGCCCUUUACUUCAUGGAGUUCCCAAAUUCUCUAAUUCACAAAGAUAGAUUCCCCAAUUUAGUUAGGGUUUUCUUCCAUGUCAGGGGUUCCUCUAAAUAUUGACUUAAUUGAUUGUUUUAUGAUCUAUCAAGUAUGAAUUGAUAUAAUUACAUGAUUUUAUGAUGAAUUCCCAUGAACCCAUGUCUAACCCAUGUUUUCUAGAUAUUGAUGAUUGAAAGUGGGUUCUGAACUAUGAAAGGUGAAUUAUGGAAUUAUGCAUGUUCUUAUGAAAUUAUUGUAAAUGUUUUAAGGAUAUUUUGAGAGUAAAGUAUAAAUGAUGUUGUUUUUGUUGUGUUGUUGAAAGGAUUUCUCACAUAAACAUGAAAGCAUGAUUAUGAAAGGAUAAUAUUGAAUAAGAAGGGUUCUUAAGUUUGAAAGGCUUUCUCACCUAAAAUGAACCUAUGUUAAGGAGUUAUUCUAAUGUUGAGGCAAGAGGCGAUUACCCAUGCUCUAUAUUGAAAGACAAGAGGAGAUUACCCGGGUAACAUGAUGCAAGGAAAAGAGGCGAUUAUCCAUGUUCCUUUAAAAGAUAAGAUGAACAUAAUCAAGAACUAUUCCAUGGAAGUUAAUCUUAGAAUCGAGAGGAAAAGUGGUGAUUACCCUUGUCCCAUAAACUAUGUGCCAAUAUAGGAUUGUCUAGCUAGACAUUAGUUAGUGGAUCCACAUAAGCUAGAAGUUCAUGAACCUUACCUUGGAAAGUAGGACAACUCUUUUAGGUGUGGGAGACAUCGGAUUCCAUGUUAAUCGCUCACAUGGUCUUAUAUGUCGGUUAAAGCUAUUUCCCACAAGAAAUCAAUGAUGAAUUAAGGUUACUUCAAGGAAGUAUCUCAUACAUGUUUAAGAUGAUGACUAUAUGCGUUGACCAUGUUUUAUGACUCAUGUUUUCUAACUCUUUAUCUCAUGUUUAAGCUUUGUCAUUGCAUCUCAUGAAGGUAUCUAUUUUAAGUGUGUUUUAAAAUGUUUUAUGCAUGGCUAACAUACUUGGUACAUAAUUUGUACUAACGCAUACUCUUGCCUACAUUUUUUGAAAAUGUAGGGUCCAGCCUUACAUAUUCACACUUCCAUGGCUAGGGAUCACAUCUAGAAUAUUGAAGUGUUGGUGAGUCCUCAUAUUCCAAGGACCGAGCUUGGUUUCCCUUUUUGUCUUUACUUUCAGUUUUGAAAACUUGAUGUGCGGGUUGCGCCCCGAUAAACUCUUAGGUACUAGAUGGAUUUUGGGUCGAUGUUUAGAUUUUUUAACUUUUCUCUAUGAAACUCUUAUAUGUUGAAACUAUAUUUUAAUCUCUUGAUUUCUAUUAUCUUGUCUAAGUAUGAUAAGUAGCUUGUAUGGGGGCCUCUCAGGGUCCUAUACGCGAUGUUACGCCUAGGGGCUACCUUGGGUCGUGACAAACUUGUUAAUUAGGGCACAAGGUUUAGAAAGGUCCUAGGAAGUCUCAUAAGCCACUCUGAGUAGAAUCUUGUUCAUGAGUGUGAAUUGCGCCACACUUAUGAAUGAGAGGCUAUAAGAUGUUUAGGAAACUCCACUUCUUUCAUAACUCUUAAGUCAUGCAAUAGUUUUACUCUAUAAUAUCUCUUUCCUAAUCCUUAUCCAAUCCUCUACAGGAUAUGGCAACUCGAAGGGCAUAUGCUAGGAGGAAUGCGGGAGAGAAUGUGAAUCAAGAGGCUCCUCCUCAAACUUCUCCAGUUCUGGUCGAUCCUUUGGCUGAGCAAGUGACUAAUGCGGACUUUAGGGUUGCUUUUCAAGUAUUAGCUCAAGCCAUGAUGGCCCAAGACAAUGGGGAGGUUGCGGUCCCCAUGAACCCAAAUGUGGGCAUGACUCCAUCUAGAGUGAGAGACUUCACUAGAAUGAAUCCUCUAGAGUUUCAUGGUUCUUAAGUUGAGGAAGAUCCUCAAGAGUUCAAUGAUAAGGUUUACAAGGUUUUGAUGAUCAUGGGAAUGACGCCGGUACAAAAGUCGAAAUUGGCCGCUUAUCAACUUAAUGGUGUUGUCUAAAUAUGGUUCAACAAAUGGAAAGAAGGGAGAACAGUUGAUGUGGGUCUUCUUGAUUGGGAAAGUUCAAAGUCGCUUUCCUUGAUAGGUUAUUUCCUCUUGAGAUGAGGGAAGCAAGGGUUCUUGAAUUCAUCAACCUUCGUCAAGGAAAUAUGAGUGUGAAGGAAUAUGUCAUGAAGUUCACACAAUUGUCUAGGUAUGCUCCUACUAUGAUUGCCGACCAUAGCGCAAGGAUGAGUAAGUUUGUUGUGGGUGUGUCUAAGAUGGUGGUUAAGUAAUGUAGUACCGAAACGCUUGUCAAUGAUAUGGAUAUCUCUCUUCUCAUGGUUCAUGCUCAACAAAUCGAAUAUGAGAAAUUUAAGGAAAAGUCUAGGGAGGCAAAUAUGGCAAUGAUCGGUGAUGGUAACUUUUCACAUUCAAGAUUCGAUGGACAUGGUCGUUCUAAAUUUAGACAAAGCUUUUUCGGUCAAGGUUCCUCCAAUGCUCCUUCCAUGUUCAAAAAAGAUAGGGUGUCUAACCCUAAGCCUCAAGGAGGAAAUAGUGGUGGAUCUUCAUUGCCUACUUGUGCUAAGUGUGGAAGGAAGCAUGAGGGUAGAUGUCUCACGGGUUCCAAUGCUUGCUUUGGUUGUGGUAAGAUGGAUCACAAGAUAAGAGAUCGUCCCUUUAUUGCUACGAAUAAGGAAGAUAACCGUCAAAGGGCUCAACCCAAUCCUUCAUCUAGUCCUAGUGGAAGUCAAAAGCAAAAUACAUUUUAUGCACUUCAAAAUUGUGGUGAAUAAGAGAGUUCUCAUGAUAUGGUUGUCAGUAUGUUGAAAGUUUUCCAACUUGACGUUUAUGCUUUACUUGACCCCGAUGCUACCUUGUCUUUAGUGACACCAUAUAUGUAUAUGAGGUUUGAUACCCUUUCGGAUGUGUUGUUAGAUCCUUUUUUUGUCUCUACUCUUGUUGGUGAUUCUGUUGUGGCUAAAAGAGUUAAUAGGAAGUGUCCCAUCUCCUUCCACCAUAGAGUCACUCUUGUUGACCUCGUAGAGCUUGAUAUACUAGAUUUUGAUAUUAUUCUAGGUAUGGAUUGGUUGCAUGCAUGUUACGCUUCUAUUGAUUGUAGAACCCGUGUAGUCAAGUUUUAGUUUCCAAAUGAAUCUAUCCUAGAGUGGAAAGGGGGAAAUUCUAUGCCUAAGGGUCAGUUCAUUUCUUUUGUUAAAGCUAGAAAGAUGAUUUCGAAGGGUUGCAUUUACCAUCUAGUUAGGGUGAGGGAUAUAGAUUCUGAGACCCCUACUCUUCAGUCGGUCCCCGUUGUUAAUGAAUUUCUGGAAGUGUUUCCAGAUUAUCUACCCGGUAUUCCUCCCAAAAGGGAAAUAGACUUCAGCAUUUACCUUCUCCCAGAUACGCAAACUAUCUUUAUUCCUCCUUAUCAUAUGGCCCCAUCAGAACAUAAGGAAUGAAAGGAGUAGUUGAAAGAGUUGUUGGAUAAGGGUGUCAUCCGACCGAGUAUCUCUCCAUGGGGUGCUCCAGUUUUGUUUGUUAGAAAUAAAGAUGGUUCGCUCUAUAUGUAUAUGACUACCGGUAAUUGAAUAAGGUUACCAUUAAUAAUAAGUACCCCCUCCGUAGGAUAGAUGAUUUGUAUGACCAACUUCAAGGAGAAAGCAACUUUUCUAAGAUUGACCUUCGGUCGGGUUAUCACCAUUUGAGGGUGAAGGAAGAUGACAUUCCGAAGACGGCCUUUCAAACUCAGUAUGGUCAUUAUGAGUUUUUAGUGAUGUCGUUUGGUUUGACUAAUGCUCUGGCGGAAUUUAUGGAUUUGAUGAAUAGGUUGUUUAGACAAUACCUUGACAUAUUUGUCAUUGUGUUCAUUGAUGAUAUAUUGGUCUAUUCGAGGAGUGAAGAUGAGCAUACCGAUCAUUUGAGGAUUGUGAUGCAAGUCCUCAAGGACCAAUGACUCUUUGCAAAGUUUAGUAAAUGUGAGUUUUGGCUAAGGUCCAUGGCUUUUCUUGGGCAUAUUGUUUCCGGUAAGUGUAUUGAGGUAGAUCCGAAAAAUACAGAUGUAUCAAGAGUUGGCCUAAGCCUCUAACCCUUUUAAAUAUUAGGAGUUUCUUGGGUCUAGCCAGUUACUAUAGAAGGUUUGUUGAAGGGUUUUCUUUGAUUGCUUCUCCUUUGACGACAUUGACUCAAAAUAAGGUUACGUUCAUAUUGUCAAAAGCGUGUGAAAAGAGUUUUAAAGAAUUAAAGGAUAGACUUACUUCCGAUUUGGUGUUGACUUUAUCGGAAGGGACAGAUGGUUUUGUCGUUUAUUGUGAUGCCUCGAGAGCUGGGGAAGGAUGUGUCCUGAUGCAAAAUGGGAAAGUCAUUGCAUAUGCUUCAAGGCUGCUUAAGAUUCAUGAAAAGAAUUAUCCGACCCAUGACCUUGAACUAGUGGCACUUGUGUUUGCCUUAAAGAUUUGGAGGCAUUAUUUGUAUGGUGUUCAUGUGGAUGUCUUUACCGGCCACAAGAGUUUGCAAUAUGUGUUUAACUAGAAGGAUCUAAAUCUUCGUCAAUAGAGAUGGCUUGAAUUGUUGAAAGACUAAGACGUGAGUUUUCUCUAUCACCCUGAUAAGGCGCAUGUGGUGGAGGAUGCUCUUAGUCGAUUAUAGAUGGGUAGUGUUGCUCACAUUUAAGAUAAUCAGAAAGAGUUGGUUCGUGAUGGUCAUAGAUUGGCCCGAUUGGGUGUUCGGUCAAUUGACUCUACUAAGGGUGGUGUUGUGGCUGAUGUGAAGGCCAAGCAAGGUCUUGAUCAAACUUUGGUUGAAUUAAAGAAAGUAGUGCUUAAAAUGUCUGUGGAAGCUUUCUCCCAAGGGAGAGAUGGUAUACUUCGAUAUCAAGGUCGUUUGUGUGUUCCUAAUGUAGAUGACUUGAGAGAACAGAUCUUGUUAGAAGCCCAAGUUUAUCCAUACUCCAUUCACCCGGGAGCCACCAAGAUAUAUCGUGACUUGUGGGAGGUCUAUCGGUGGAAUGGGAUGAAGAAGGAUAUUGUCAACAAGUGAAAGUUGAGCAUCAACAUUCGAGAGGUUUAUCCCAAGAUAUUAGCAUUCCUACUUGGAAGUGGGAAGAUUUGAACAAGCACUUCAUUGUGGGUUUGUCUCUCAUCCAACGACAACAUGACUCAAUUUGGAUUAUUGUAAAUCGGAUGACGAAAUUAGCUCAUUUCAUUCCUGUCAAGGUUUAUUAUUUGGCGCAGGUCUAUGCCAAGUUGUAUUUGAAGUAAAUGGUGAGGUUUCAUGGAGUUCCCUUAUCCAUUAUCUCCGAUCGUUGUACCCAAUUCACUUCCCAGUUUUGGAAAUCUUUCCAGAAGGGUCUUGGUACUCGUUUUAAGCUUAGUACAACCUUUCACCCACAAACUGAUGGGCAAGCAGAACGUACUAUCCAAACUUCAGAAGACAUGUUGAGAGCAUGUGUAAUUGAGUUUAAGGGUAAUUAGGAUGAUCACUUUCCUUUAAUUAAGUUUGCCUACAAUAAUAACUAUCACUGAAGAAUUGGUAUGGCUCAAUUUGAGGCCCUAUGUGGUACGAGAUGUAGAUCUCCAGUAGAUUGGUUUGAGAUGUGUGAAGUUGCCCUAAUAGGUACCGAAUUGGUACAUGUGGCUAUGGAGAAAGUUUGACUUAUUAGAGAAAGGUUGAAAAUGGCUCAAAGUCGACAAAAGUCAUAUGCCGAUGUUAGAAGAAGAGAUCUUGAGUUUGAUGUUAAUGAUUGGGUCUAUUUGAAAAUUUCACCCAUGAAGGGUGUAAUGAGCUUUUGCUAGAAAGGGAAGCUUAGUCCCUGAUAUGUGGGCUCAAAUUAGAUUUUGAGGCGAACUGGCAAGGUUGCUUAUGAACUUGAUUUGCCUAGUGACUUGGCGUCGAUGCAUUCGGUUUUCCAUGUCUCCUUGUUGAAGAAAUGUUUUGGAGAUCCGACAUCCAUAGUUCCCUUAGAUGGUUUUGGAAUUGAUGAGAAUCUUUCUUAUGAGGAAGUUCCGGUUGAGAUUUUAGAUCGGCAAGUUAAAAGGUUGAGAAAUAAAGAAGUUGCUUCCGUGAAAGUUCUUUGGAGGAAUCGGUUAGUUGAGGGUGCUACUUUGGAGGCUGAGGCCGAUAUGAUGUCCCGUUAUCCUCAUCUAUUUCCCUCCGUCCUUACUCAAGUUUGAGGUAUUUAGCUCCUCAUGGUUUACUCAUUAGGUGUCAUGUGUCUUAGAUUUUCCCGUGAUUUCCUCAUUAUGCAUGAUUCAUGAAAAACUUAGUUUUUGAGAAAAUGAGUUACUUGAUUUAUUUCUACAUGUUUAUGUGUGUUUCAGUAUGAGUUGGAUAUAGACUUCAUGAUAUGAUGUUUUGAACAUGCUUUAGCUUGGAGUUGAUGUUUCCUCCUCGGAUAUGUGCACCUAUGUGAUUGCAGGCAUGUUGGGCUUUUAGGUUUGAGUUCCUAUCUUCCUUAUGAUGUCUUAUAUCUCAUUCGAGGAUGAAUGACCCCAAGGGGGAGAUAAUGAAACACCUCGAAUUCGAGAAAGGUUAGAAAAGGAGUCAAGGGGGAAACUCAAAAGCCAAAACAAGACCAUGGGACCCUCCAUGGAGCCCCCACACGGGCCGUGAAGGAAACCAUGGUCCGUUUAAGGACUCUUGGUAAGCUCCCCCCAAACUAACUUCGCAUGGAUCUCUCCCACGGAGGCCUUGGCGGCUCGUGGAGAGGGAGAUGGCUCGUGGGAUCUUGGAAGUGGUUGGCAUGGACAUCAUCCCUCCCACGGAGGCCUUGACAGCCCAUAGUGAGGAUGACAGGCGUGGUGGUCGUCGUCAAAGUGCCCCACCAGCAAAGGCCUUUUCACAAGCCACUGGUCUAAGGACCACGACUGCCAAAAUGGCUCGUGAUCUCUUAGACGACUCGUUAAGGCCACCAUUUAGGGGUUGCAUCAGCUGUAAGUCAGGGGCUUUUAGGUCUUUUCCUAAUUAUUCUAUCCUAAUACUAUAUCGUUUUUCCCUUACCUAGAAGUUCUAUAUAAGUGUUUUUAACCCCUAAUUUCCCCAAUUGAAAUCAUUCUCUCAAAUUCCAAAAAGAAGAACAAGUCUUCCUCUCAAAAUAUUUCUCUCUCUAAAAAGCUUAAAGAAGAAGGGAUCAACCUAGAGUUUCAAGUCAAGUCUCCAAUUCCUCCAUUGAAGGCAAGCUUUUGGCAUUGAGGUAUGAUAGUUUUCAUCCAUGGAGCCCUUUCCCCAAUUUAGUUAGGGUUUUCUUCCAUGUCAUGGUUCCUUUAAAUAUUGAAUUAAUUAAUUGUUUUAUGAUCUAUCAAGCAUGAAUUUAUAUAAUUACAUGAUUUUAUGAUGAAUUCCAUGAACCCAUGUCUAACCCAUGUUUUCUAGAUACUUAUGAUUGAAUGUGGGUUUUGAACUAUGAAAGAUGAAUUAUGGAAUUAUGCAUGUUCUUAUGAAAUUGAUGUAAAUGUUUUAAGGAUUCUUUGAGAGUAAAGUAUCAAUGUUGUUGUUGUUGUUGUGUUGUUGAAAGUAUUUCUCACAUGCACAUGAAAGCAUGAUUAUGAAAGGAUAAUCUUAGAUAAGAAGGGUUCUUAAGGUUGAAAGGCUUUCUCACUUCAAAUGAACCAAUGUUAAGGAGCUAUUCUAAUGUUGAGGCAAGAGGAAAUCACCCAUGCUCUCUAUUUAAAGACAAGAGGCGAUUACCCGUGCCACAUGAUGCAAGGACAAGAGGCGAUUACUCAUGUUCCUUUAAAAGAUAAGAUGAAUAUAAUCAAGAACUAGUCCGUGGAAGUCAAGCUUAGAACCAAGUGGACAAGUGGCGAUUACCCGUGCCCCAUAGACUAUGUGCCAACAUAGGAUUGUCUAGAUAUACAUUAGCUAGUGGAUCCAAAUAAGCUAGAAGUUCAUGGUCCUUACCUUGGUAAGUAGGAGAACUAUUUUCCGUGUGGGAGACACCGGAUUCCAUGUUAAUAGCUCACAUGUUCUUAUUUUUUGGUAAAGGCUACUUUCCACAAGCAAGCUAUGAUGAACUAGGGUUACUUCAAGGAAGUAUCUCAUACAUGUUUAAUAUGUUGAAUAUGUGUGUUGACCAUGUUUUGUGACUCAUGUUUUCUAACUCUUUAUCUCAUGUUUUAGCUUGGUCACUGCAUCUCAUAAAGGUAUCUCUUUUAAGUAUUUUUUUUUCAAAGCUAUCAUACUUGGUACAUAUUUUGUACUAACGCAUACUCUUGCCUACAUUUUCCCCAAAUGUUGGGUCCGACCAUAAAGAUUUGCACUUCUGUGGCUAGGGAUCCUUUAUAGAAGAUUGAAGUGUUGGUGAGUCCUCAUAUUUUGAGGAUCGAUUUUGUUUCCCUUUUUGUCUUUACUUUCAGUUUUGAGAACUUGAUGUACGGGCUGCGCCCUGAUAAAAUCUUAUGUACUAGAUGGAUUUUGAGACAAUGUUUAGAUUUUUCCGCUUUUCUCUAUAAAACUCUUAUAUGUUGAAACUAUCUUUUAAUCUCUUGAUUUCUAUUAUCUUGUCUAAGUAUGGCUUGUAUGUGGCCUCUCAGGGUCCUAUAUGCCAUGUUACGCCUAGGGGCUACCUUGGGUCGUGACAAAAAUUCAAUGAGGGAGCAUAAUUUCCUAUAAAGCCCUCUGUGACUACUUUGUGAGGGUUUGAACCAUUUUGGCACCAUUUGAGCCUAACCUAUUUGUUGACACCCAAAAGAAGCCUUUUGAGAAAAAACUACCCCUACCUUCUCACCUAAAAUCCUUUUUAAAGAAUUAUGAUGUUUGAAUAGCCAACUUAGGCUAAAAAGCCUAAGUUGGAGGUGUGGAUAGGAAUGAUGAAUGAGAGCCAAGUGAAGGGAAAAGAAGAAUAAAUGAGGCUCAAAUCUGAAUGUUUUACAAAAAGAAGGAACCCCUCCUUAUAUAUAAAAGAAUGUGUGUAUUUGUCAUAAAUUUGAUGAGAAUAGCCUAGAAAAAUGAAAAUUAAAAAGUGAAGUUAUUGAAAUAAAAGGGAGUUCCAAAUAAAUUGAGUGGAAAGUCAAGAUUUGAGUCCUCAAAUGAGAAAGAAUGAAAAUAACUUGAGAAGAGGUGAUGAUGAUUGCCACAAUGCUUUGAAAAGGGUGUAAGUCACGAAUCUAAAUUGACCAUGCCUUAACCCUCAUCCACAUUACAAGCCUAAAAGACCCUUAAGGUCUUACAUGAACCAAUUUGUUUGAUGAUAGGAAAAUAUGGGCAAACCUAUGGAACAAAGCUUGCAUGUAUUUCUCUUUUGAGAGAGUGAGAGUUGCAUUGAUUGGUAUUACCUUUGUUGAUUUGCUUUGUGAGAGCAUGUAAUCUUUCUUGAUGUGAGGGCACUUGAAUGAAUUUGUUGAAACAUGUUCUUGCAAUAUACAAGAAGCUAAAGUGAGCUUGAGCUUGUGUUAAGAGUAGUUAGUAAUCAUUUGAAGCUUUUUUAUCAUGAUUUAGGGUAACAUGCUAUUGAGAGUACUCUUGUCAUGUCGCUUGCAUUUUAAUUCUCUUUGAGUAUUCUUUUAGACAACCUUAUUGAGGUUAUUGUAUUCUUGAUUUACUUGAGGACAAGCAAAAGUUUAAGUUGGGGGUGUUGAUUAGUGGUAGAUUUGCACUCAUUUAAGGUCCAUUUACCUCAAUAAUUGGUGUCCUCAAUGCCUAACUUUGUUCUUUUCUAAUCAAAUGUUGAUGAUUUGCAGCUAUGAAGGACAUUGGACAAGGCAUGGACUGAAGCUUGAUGGAUGGAAAAAAAGCAAAAGAAGUGCAAAACAAACAUUGUUGAGAGCCUAGCAUGAAAGGGUGGAUCGCCGACAGAGACGCCCAAUCUGACAAGACAUAACACUUUUGUCCACCAAAGAGGAUCGGCAAAUUCUAGUAGAAAAGGUGAUAUGCCAAAUGAAAAAGGCGAACCUGAAGCACAUCACUCAAUUUGACAAUGUUCAAGGCAAAGAUUUAAGGCUCGAACGGCGAACUAAGGUGGUAUUUUGUGAUUCACCAAUGUGAAAGGCUGACUCCAUCGAGUUUUCCAACUGAGGUUCAAACACCUGAAGCCUAGAGCAUCACGAAGGCGAGUUGGGGAAUGAAGGGCGAUUUGCCGAGUGAGUUAGGUGAGCGUGAUUAAUGUGGUCGAGGUUGUCGCGAAGUGGAUUUUUUAGCCAAUUUUUUGGAAAAUAUAAAUAGCCCAACGGUUAGAGUUUUAGGGGAGUUCGAGGAGAGAGUUGAACAGUUGAUUUCAGGAGAAAGUUUUGAGAGAGAACACUUCACUUUUUAGAAUAGUUUUUCUAGUCUUCUUGGGAUUUUACAAUAAUAACUAUUAUUUGGGAGAUUCUCUAAUUGACAACCAUCACUAUGAGCUAUGUGAUUAUACAACGUCUCGCCCACGUUGUCAGAAUUGUCCUAUACCUUGCUGAAGUAUAAGACAUCCUCCACUAAGUGGAUCCACUAAGCUAUGCUUAAAAGCAAUAAGGAAUUAUCUAAAAAGUAUGACCCUUUUUACCCAUGUUGGCAUACAUGGUUUAUGAGGACUUUGAGUUGUUUGAAAUCGUCUCCAUAUCGGUACUACUCCCAAUAAUAUAACUAAUGCUCAUAUGUUUAAAAACAUUUCCUUAUCCUCAAACUUUGGGGUUAUUACUCAAAAGGUUCUCUUAAAAGAGAGAGUGCUCAAAACUCCUUAUGAACUCAUUUGGAAAUCAAAGUUCCCUCUCAUUUUAAAUGUAAAAACAUUUACUCUUGGGAAUACUUAGUUCCCUUAUAUUCAUUUCAAAAACAUGAAACUCAACUCUCCUCAUCCUCAUACUCGUUUACUCAAGUCUUAAAUUAAAUUACAAUUAAUUGUAAUAGACUUCUUAAAAUGGGGUUCAUGCCGAAUUAUGGACGUGAACGACUCAAUUCAAGAGUUUCAAUAACCAUAUAUAAAACUCAAUACUAAGAACUCAAUAACUACAAAACUCAAGGACUCAUCUCAAGAAUGCUCGACUCGUAGGGUUCAUGUAGAAUUAUGGGCAUGAACCACUAAACUCUAGGACCUCCAUGAAUAACAUAUAGUAAUCCCAUAAUUAGGAAUAUAGUUUCAAAAGGAUCAGGAACUCAAUACUCAAAAACUCAGAACUCAAAGAUACUGCUCCUCUCAAUAAUACUCAAUUCAUAGAGGACAUGAAGGACUCGACUCAAGGGUCAAAAUGACAAUAUAGAACUCAUGGGUCCAACUCAUCUCAUUCUCAUGCUUACUUCCUCAAAACUUAACACAAACCUAUAGUUAAUUUCAAAGGAAUUCUCACCUUGACUCAAAGACUUUAUUAGAAGGGGACUCAAAGGUUUUCUCAAAAUGACUCGAAGAACUCCAUCGAACUUUGCUCUUAACUCUAUCUUGAAUUUUAAAUGUGAAUUCAAGAAUUAUGAUUUGGAUAUAUAGGACUUCUCAUUGAUUAGAUGUAGUUUGGAUAGUAAAAAUCAGUAAGAGAGAAGAUACGUUUUAAAAGAACUUAGACGGAAUGAAUGACAGAAAAUGAGCGGGGGCAGGCGACCCUAGCGCCAGCCUCACAUCAACUACAGCCCAUUUCUGGCGCACUGCAGGAGUGGCAUGCCAGCCCUCAUGGCGCAUCCGUGGCGUGGUGUGGCGUACCAGCCCUCCUGGCGCAUCUGUGGCGCGUCGCGCUACCCCUUCCCCAAAAUGUUCAAACAAAUUUUUCUUCUCAAUUUUUGGUCCUAAUUCACCUAGAAUUGACUGAUUUCUUCCAAACUCUCUUAGAUUCAUAUACCCAACAUAACUAAAUAAAAACCUACUCAAAUCUCCUCAAGAACAACCCUCAAACUCAAACCCUCGCCUCAAGAACUUAUCAAAUUCCAAUAAUAAAGAUUAAAGAAUGGAACUUCAAGAAAACUCAACAACAACUUCAAUACACAGAUUUCAUGGACGAAUUUGAUAAAGAAACUCAUGAUUGGCAUGAGGGUGACCUAACCCAUCACUAUGAAAACUUACAUACCUCAAAGAACUAGGUUCUUGGCGAAAUCUUGGAUGAACGCUUGAAACCUUGAACUUUUUCUCCUGUUGAAUCUUCUCUCUAAGCCCUAAAUGUUUUGGGGGUGAAUGAAAUUGAUUCUAAUCAGUAUAGACCCUUAAUUUGGUGUAAUUCACGCUUAGACUAAGUAGGGUAAGGAAAAAUACUAAAAUGCCCCUCAUUAGUUUGGAUGUAAAGGCCCUAUCUAGAGAGGUUGCACUCAGACGGUCAUAUCUCCCUGAUCCGAACUUAGAUUUUAGCAAACUCAACAACGUUAGAAAGAGGACUCCAAGAUCUUCAAUUUGAUACCUCAUGGGCCACUAAACUCAUUAAGUGUUAAAAGUUAUGGUCGUUUGAAGUUGACCCAAAACUUAAAAGAACUUACGGAUGACUUGAUGAAUUUCUCUUUAGUUCUUUUUGGAACUCGAUGUGCUACAUCUAGUGAACUUGACACCUAAGAAAAUCUAAAUUCCUCGGUAAAAUCUUACUCACAACGAAGAAUGGUUCGAAUCUUAGCCCAAAAAUUUUGGGGGUGUUACAAUAAUAUACCAACCUCACACAAUGAAUCUGUAUACAACUAAUUAACUUUUAAAAAGGUGGUUUGACACCACAAUGGAACACGAGAUCUUGACAAGAUAUACAAAAAUAAUCAAGAACCAAAACUGGUCGAAAUACAAUAAAAGCAUUAAAACUGAUCAAAACUAAUCGAAAAUAUCAAUUAAAGUAUUUGUCAGUUAAUUGAACAACAAUAUAGGCAUCAAAAUUGAUCGAAAAAUACAUUAUUCUUCAGCCUAUUAUAAUAAUGACUGAAUUGUUGGUAUAAUAUACGAACCUCACACAAUGAAGCUGUAAACAACUAAUUAACUUUGAAAAUAUGGUUUGACAACACAAUAAAACACAACAUCUUGACAAUAUAUACACAAACAAUUAUGAACCAAAACUGAUCGAAAUACAAUUAAUGCAUCAAAACUGAUCAAAAAUACCAAUUAAAGUGUUAAUCAGUUAAUUGAACACAAAAUAUGCACCAAAACUGAUUGAAAGUAUAAAUUAAAGUGAUAUCCAAAAGUAUAACAAAAACACUUUUUAAAGAACAAAAAUCCAAUAACAUAUUUUAUAAUAUUUUGUCUUAACGGAAGAUACUCCUUUUUAAUCCUUUCUCUUCUGAAUUAACUGACCGCCUUUCCCAGUUGCUUCACUUUCACUAACAGUACCAGUAUCAAUCUUCCUCUUUCCAUAAUUCUAAAGUAAUGCUUCAUAUCUCAAACAAAAUUUUGUAGCAUCAAAAAUUGACGUUGAAAUGUUCUUAAGAGGGAAAAAAAUGAUGAAAGUGAUGAACUGAUGAGAGAAAAAAAUAAUGGUGAAAAGGAAGAAUAUGAACGGAAGAGAGAAGAUAACAAUGGCUAAAAUUUCUCCCAAAUAAAAACUACAUAGGGAAUAAUGAAUUUUAGAAGGAAUAAAUUGUUGGAAACAUAAAAAGGUUUUACUUUGCAUUGAUUGAAUCAAAAAGGAAGAAAAUAAAAUAAUAGUGAAAAAGUAGUAACGUGUGAAUUGAAAACUGUAAUUGAAGAGAUAAAUAAGGCACAUAAUCCCAAAAGAGGAGAGACGAAAAUUGAAAUUAAAUAAUUAAAUUAAAUUCAAAAAUCAAUUAUUCUGCUAUGUUUGUAAUUUAUAAACUACGUUGGUAAUUAAAUAAAAGUAUGUACAUACAAUGUUAAUUAAAGUCUUAAGUAGUAUAUUAUUGUAAUUUCACCCCCAAAAAAUUCAAUAUGUUAUUGUUGCUAUUGCAAAGUAUAUGUAGAAUUUGGAGGUUGAUUAAAUUUAUUCGAAGAAUUAAAAUUUAAACAAGUUUUAAAAGUUUGAUACUGUGAGUUUUCUAUUUAUUUAUAUUUCGUCAUCUCUAUCAGUUUCUCAUUUAUUACUAUUAUAUAUUCUGGUUUGGAAAAGAUGUCUUAAUUUAAUAAAAUAUGUUUCGUGUAUCCUUUUUAAAUUGAAUGAAUAAUUUGAAAGUCGUAGAUCUGCCAUUUAAAUUUACUAUAAUUGAUUAAGAAAAAUUGUUGAAUGGGACACAAAAUUAUGUUGUGUUAUACCACUACAUAUAUGCUUUCCUCCAUAUAAUAUUUACUAUUUUAUCUUCAUUUUGUAAUAAUGAUUUUUAUAUACAAGAAUUAUUGUGAAAAUAAGUGAAUUUGAGAAUGGAGUACACAAUAGAAUUAUUUAUGCCAAAUAGUUAGAGUUGAUGAUCAUAUUAAUUAUUUAUGAUGUGAAAUUUUUUUUUAGAAAAUCGUAUUAGUACUUACGCAGUUAAGUGUUAAAUGAAUAGACAACUUGACCAUCAAUUUAAGUAUUUCCUCAACCUACAAAUUAAUUAUAACUAAAAGUGAGUUUUAACACUACAACUAGACAUAAGUGUCUGUGCUAGAUCUGCUAUUUCUUUUGUCUAAAUCUAUGUGAUAUAGAUAGAAUUUUGAAAGUCAAUUAAAUUUGAAUAUGAAUUUAGAUAUUUUAAGUUGUUAAUUAUUGUGAUUUAUAGUAAUUUUAUAUUAUAAUAUAUGUUACUCCUCUUGCCACAAUUUAUGUGACACUAAUAAAAAAUUUAAAAUCAAUUUAAUUUUUAAUGUAUUUUAGUUUUGAUUUUUAAUUGUGAUCUAUAUUACUUUUACGUCAUUUUUAAACAAUAUAUGCUACUCAUCUAUCCCUAUUUAUGCGGUGUUGAUUUGAGGGUCAAUCGAAUUUUUUUAUGUCUUUUAAAUAUUUUAAGUUGUUAAUAUUGUGAUUCAUAAUAUUUUUUACGUAGUUUUAAAAUAAUAUAUAUUACUCCCUUUGUCCAAAUGUAUAUAGCACAAAUAGAUUUUCAAGUCAAUCAAAUGUUGUGAAUUUUUUAGAUUUACUAUACUUUUUACGUAGUUUCCAAAUUGAAUAAUACAUGUUACUUCUUUUGUCCCAUUUUAUGUGACAUCAAUAGAUUGAUUUCAAGAAUCAAUCAAAUUUUUAUAUAUUUUUUUAAACAAAUAAAAAAAAAAUAAGAUAGAUAAAUUAAAAUAAAAGAAUCAUUGAAAAAUUACAGAAAUACCUAAAGGUGUUAAGCAAGCAUGUUGACCUGCUGCUUGUUUGAGCACUUAAACUCCCUCUUAUUAUAUACUAGUGGGUGGUGCGCCCGUGCUGGGCACGGACUAAUCUAAAAAUAUGUUAGUUUCAUUUUUACUCAUUCUCACCUCUAGUUUGAUGAAGUUUGUGAUCAAAUUAAGUUUAUGUUAUAACUUUUUGAAUGUUAUAAGAAAAAAUAUGCAGCUCAUAUAUAUCCAUGGAAGUAUUUAUAGUAUAGUAAGAAAUUUUAGUGGAGCCAUGCAUGGAAAAUAAAAACAUAAACCAUUGAAGUCUUAAAACAACAAAAAGUCCUAAGAAUAUACUAAUAAGUAAUAUCUACAUCUACUGAAUCACCAAAAGUCGACGUGAUAAGUAACUUUUCCUGUGUUGAUUUCUUAGAUACAAACAAAAGUUAUUUUAUACUCUCUUCGUUUCAUAUUAGCUGAUUAUCUUUUUAUACGUAUAUUAAGAAAUUAUAAAUAAGAAGAUAAUUUACCCCUUAAAAAUAUUCUUAGAAAUUUUAUAAACAAAUAUGAACACUUUAAAAAAAAGUAAUUGCAAGGGUAAUAUAAGAAAAUUUUAAUUAAUGUUUUCUUGAUUUAGUAAGGUGGACAACUAAUACAGAACAAUUAUUUUUAUCUAGAUAAUCAACUACUAUGAGACGGAUGGAACAUUAUUUUUAUCCAUUGAACCACCCAAAAAGAAUGACCGUAGGAAUUUUCGAGAACUGAUCUCUUUGGUAAAUUUAAUGUACAAAUAGUUCCUGCUUUCAUAACUUGGGAAAUUUGGAAGAGGAGGAAUGUGAUGAAGCAUGGUGGAAAUAUGUCAACAACCUCAAAUGAUUGUAGAGAUACAUAGAAACAUCUACUUAUUUACUAAGAGUAGAUAUCCAUGGUUAAAGAAUGUCCCUCAAAACUGGCCCUUAAUUGUCAAAUAUCUUGAAGGAUAUGCUCCAUUGACAAAAACUAUGGUGGUGAGAUGGAGUCAUCCCCCAUGAGAGUAUAUAAAUGCAAUAUUGAUGCUUUUUAUCAGCUCGAAUCAGGAGUUGGGUGUAUAGCCUUUUGUAUUAGAGAAUACGAUGAGAUUUGAAAUAUGCAGAAUCUAGAAGAAUUAAUACUACAUCUAUUUUGGAGGCAGAGGUCAUGGCAAUUAAGGAAGGGUUACAGUACUGCAGUCAAGGAAAUUUCCUUCCCUUGAUAAUUGAGACAGACUCACUGGUGGCUCAGAAAGUUAUACAUGGAGUAUGGGAGGUCCCAUGGCAGAUAACUUCGGAUAUCAGACACAUUCAGACAAUGAUAAGGAGUCAUGGGGUGGAGGUGGUUCAUGUCCUCAGAGAAGGGAACAGCCUCGUUGAUGGUUUAACUAAGUUGUUUGUUCAUUUUGCAGGUAUAGAGAGACAACAAUAUCAAAAUAUGCAGGAACUACCAUAACAUGCCAAAGCUAUUUUGCAACAAGACAAAGAAAAGACUCCUAAUUUGAGGAUCCGAAAAGUUCAAAACAAACAUUAUAAUGGUGCUUAAAAAAUAAAAAAAAGCACCACAUCAGUUCAAAGAAAAUCAGGAGAGGACUAAACUAAGAAGGUGAAAGAUUACCUUAGUCUCCUGGAAAAGGUUGAGCGAUGCAAGGUCGGAGAUUAGUCGACUUAAACAGUGGUAUUAAUUAUGGUGGGGUUCAACCUAUUGAGGAGAAUAAUCAAGGACUGAGUAUCAAAACAUAUCUCAAAAAUGAGUAAUAAAGCUUAUCUCAAUAGAUCUUGUCUUCAAAUCUGGAUGGCGAUUGAAGCGUGUCCCCAAAAUUCUUGCGCAUAUCUUGAGAUCUAGCUCAGAUCGAUAAAAUUCAGGUAGAAGAAGUCUUCAAAGGUAUUUGAAUCAUUACAUCAGUGAGAUUUGUUGGUGGAAGUGAUUGCAAUCCAUACCUGGAUCGAUAUCGAACAGAGCUCAUAUCAAGAGAAGGUGAGUAUUUAGAAGGUUUGGUCGUCACUUUGGGAGGAAUCUCCGGCGACUGUUAGUUUGUUUUCUUCUUCCUGUAGUUUACUUUGUU